RNAcentral lists this ribosomal RNA (470 nucleotides) under uncultured bacterium. RNAcentral describes it as "partial 16S ribosomal RNA". It matches the Rfam family "Bacterial small subunit ribosomal RNA", at positions 28 to 505 of the family's 1533-position model. The record is from RNAcentral.
GACGAACGCUGGCGGCGUGCUUAACACAUGCAAGUCGAACGCUGAAGCUUGGUGCUUGCACUGGGUGGAUGAGUGGCGAACGGGUGAGUAAUACGUGAGUAACCUGCCCUUGACUCUGGGAUAAGCCUGGGAAACUGGGUCUAAUACUGGAUACGACAUGUCACCGCAUGGUGGUGUGUGGAAAGGGUUUUACUGGUUUUGGAGGGGCUCACGGCCUAUCAGCUUGUUGGGGGGGUAAUGGCCCACCAAGGCGACGACGGGUAGCCGGCCUGAGGGGGUGCCCGCCCACUCGGGGACUGGGCCCCGCCCCAGCCCCCUACGGGGGGCAGCGGUGGGGAAUUUUGCCAAAGGGGCGGAGCCCUGAUGGGGGGCCCCCGCGGGGGGGAUGCCGGCCUUGGGUGUGAAAACCUUUUUCAGCACGGAAAAAGGGAAAGUGGCGGUCCGGUAAGAAGAAGCGCCGGCAAACUCCG